RNAcentral lists this ribosomal RNA (463 nucleotides) under uncultured Methanolinea sp. Its description in RNAcentral is "bacterial SSU rRNA". It matches the Rfam family "Archaeal small subunit ribosomal RNA", at positions 877 to 1338 of the family's 1478-position model. The record is from RNAcentral. Lineage: Archaea; Methanobacteriati; Methanobacteriota; Methanomicrobia; Methanomicrobiales; Methanoregulaceae.
CACCACAACGGGUGGAGCCUGCGGUUUAAUUGGACUCAACGCCGGGCAGCUCACCGGAUAAGACAGCUGGAUGAUAGCCGGGCUGAAGACUCUGCUUGACUAGCUGAGAGGAGGUGCAUGGCCGUCGUCAGUUCGUACUGUGAAGCAUCCUGUUAAGUCAGGCAACGAGCGAGACCCACGCCAACAGUUGCCAGCAUGUCCUCCGGGAUGAUGGGGACACUGUUGGGACCGCCUCUGCUAAAGAGGAGGAAGGAAUGGGCAACGGUAGGUCAGCAUGCCCCGAAUUAUCCGGGCUACACGCGGGCUACAAUGGUCAGGACAAUGGGUAUCGACACCGAGAGGUGGAGGCAAUCUCCUAAACCUGUCCUUAGUUCGGAUUGUGGGCUGCAACUCGCCCACAUGAAGCUGGAAUCCGUAGUAAUCGCGUUUCAACAGAACGCGGUGAAUACCGUCCCUGCUCCUU